UCCUACGGGGGGCAGCAGUGAGGAAUAUUGGUCAAUGGCCGCAGGGCUGAACCAGCCAAGUCGCGUGAGGGAUGACGGUCCUAUGGAUUGUAAACCUCUUUUGUCAGGGAGCAAAGGGCGCCACGUGUGGCGUUUUGCGAGUACCUGAAGAAAAAGCAUCGGCUAACUCCGUGCCAGCAGCCGCGGUAAUACGGAGGAUCCGAGCGUUAUCCGGAUUUAUUGGGUUUAAAGGGAGCGUAGAUGGGUUGUUAAGGCAGUUGUGAAUGUUUGC
Molecule: ribosomal RNA, 271 nt
Filed under: uncultured bacterium
Lineage: Bacteria
Description: partial 16S ribosomal RNA
Rfam family: Bacterial small subunit ribosomal RNA
Source: RNAcentral